Molecule: long non-coding RNA, 743 nt
Organism: Neofelis nebulosa (Clouded leopard)
Lineage: Eukaryota; Metazoa; Chordata; Mammalia; Carnivora; Felidae
Exons: 3
Source: RefSeq, a predicted model, not a curated record
AGAAAACAUUACUAAUAAAUAUUCCUGUUUUUGUCCACAUCAAUAUGCAUUUGUUUGGAAAAUUUUUCAGAGUAUUUGUCACAGAGACUUGUCACAAGAUGCAGAGUUUCUACUGGCUUCAAAGAAAACGUUUAACAUGAAAAACACAAACAGAAAUAGAGAAGACUAAGAAUUUGCAUGUUGUGACUACCUGUUUUGUCCUACAUUCUGUUUCCAGAAUUAACUUAGGAAUUGAAAGAACAAAUAAAAGUUUUUGUGAAUCAUUUCCAUUUUUAAGAAGAUAUGGCCAGGCAAAUGUCCACAUAUUUCUCAUCUAUAUUUUGACACUAUGUGGAUUUCCAUCAAGAUAUAGUUUAGCUUCAAAAAUGUGGUUAACUAAGAAAUAGCUGGAGGCUGCUUCAAUAAAUCAGAAAGAUCAAUUUUAAGAGAUAUGUGCGUAUAAUCAAAGCUUGAAAUUCACUUCUACAGGAAAUCAAUAAGCUAUUUUAGAAGCAUUGAAAAGGGAUUUUACACAUAUAUAAAUAAAACUGGCAUUCGUCAUAAUAUUAAAUAGACAAAAGUGACAAGAAUUAUGUAUAUUUGAGCUUUAUGAAAUAAAUUUAAUAUAUGCAAGAUGGAGACAUCUUUCUACAUAUUUUGAAAAACAUUACUUGGUAUGUUAUGGGGUAAAAUCCAGAGAAUAUAUUCUUAUGUGUGUAUGUCUGUGUGUUUGUGAGGAGGGGAGUAUAUUGUGGUCAUUAAGA